Molecule: non-coding RNA, 5806 nt
Organism: Oryzias latipes (Japanese medaka)
Lineage: Eukaryota; Metazoa; Chordata; Actinopteri; Beloniformes; Adrianichthyidae
Source: RefSeq, a predicted model, not a curated record
CUUUUAGUGUGCGACACAUAACAGAACUAAAUCAAAACAUCUGAAAUGACCCUUCGAGCCUGAGGCGAUUAUUGUGGUUUUAGAUUAAGAGAAUGACGUCGGUAAAUUGUUUAAGAGAUUUUGUGAACGAGCGACUAACAGCGGCAGCCGAAGAAAUUGUUAAAGUCUUUGAAAAAACGAUCGCCGAUUAUGAGAAAGAGAUCAACCGUCAGCGAAGGCUGCUGGCUGUCGUCUGCAAGCCUCGAGUAAAGUUACACCGUACAGAGGUCCCAAAAGCUUUUUUUCAUCAUCAUGUGAGUGGGGGGCAGACGGAGGUGCAGGCUUGUAUCCAGAGGAAGAACUGUGAUUUGGACCAACAGGACUCAGAAUCUCAACAGGUUAAUGAUGACCAUGAAGACCUCUGCACCAGUCUGGAUAAAGAUCUAAAUCAUAAGACAGAUCCCAUUAUCCUGGCUGCCAAAUGUGAUGAGAACGCCAAUCAAACUGUCUCCUUAAAUCCCGUCAAACCUACAGAGUCCACAGACGCCAUCCCGGCCCAAAGGUGUGACGUUUUAGAGUGGAGGGAGUCCUGUUUACCUGAAAGCCACGAUCAAACAGGAACCACAGCUGAGAACCUGGAACCACCUGAAAGCUCAGAGAAAAAACAAAGCAGGAGACGUCUGAAAACCGGUGAAGAUCACACUCCUCCCCUGUUAAGAACUCCCUUUUUCAUUCGCACGGGCAAUGAGUGCGACUACAGGUGUGAAACGUGUGGCAAAGCCUUUCCAUACAAGUCCAAACUGAUUCGACACCAGAGGAUCCACACAGGUGUGAAGCCCUACUGCUGCAACAUCUGCGGCAAACGCUUCAACCAGACGUCCAUACUGAAGGUUCACCUCCGGAUCCACACGGGCGAGCGGCCUUACUCCUGCGACACCUGCGGGAAGAGAUUCAACCAGAAGUCCAUCCUGAAUGUGCACAAAAAGAUUCACUCCGUGGAGCGGCCGUACGCCUGCGACGCCUGCGGCAAAAGGUUCUUUCAGAAAGCCAGUAUGGAGGCUCAUGUCAUCUGGCACACAGAGCUGCCAGCACCUUUGUGCAAAGAGGAGGGUGUUUUGGAUGAGCAGCAGAGGAGUAUCAGUUUGGCUCAGAGUGAAUUCCAGUUUCCUCAGAUUAAAGAGGAACAGGAGGAGCUCUACAUCAGUCAGCACGGACAGCCGCUAGAGCUAAAACAGGACCCGGAUGCGCUUGUGCUGUCUUUAUCGCGUGGUAACGAUUACCACGACGGCACUGAAACUCUCUACCUGCAUCCCGGUGAGCUUCCAAGUUCAGGAAAGUCCAUAGAUAAGUCCGAUUACAGAGCAGACAGGCAGGCGCUUGCGUCAAAACCUCCUUUCGCCGCUGCAUACAUGACUGAAAAACAUGAGUAUAAAUGCGACACUUGUGGGAAAGUAUUUCAGUUCAGGUCGAGGCUGGUUCGACACAUGAGAAUCCACACCGGCGUGAAGCCGUUCUGCUGCCACACCUGCGGAAAGAGGUUCAACCAGAAAUCCAUAUUGAUCGUCCAUCAAAGGAUCCACACGGGCGAAAGGCCUUACUCCUGCGACGUCUGCGGGAAAACGUUUAACCAGACCUCCAUCUUGAACGUUCACAAGAGGAUCCACACCGGCGAGAGGCCGUACUGCUGCGAAACCUGCGGCAAGAGCUUCACCCAGAAGUCCAUACUGAACGGACACAAGAUCAUUCACACCAGAGAGACCCUCCUCCUGCAAAACAUGCGGCAAAAGCCUCAGAAAAUUUUACAUAAUUACUUUUUCAAACAUGUAUCCAGCCCAGAGCAUGCGCAACUUUGUCUGUGAUCGCUUAACUGCGGCUGCGCGGGAAAUAGUGGGGGCUUUUGAAAAGAGAAUUGAGGAUUAUGAGGCAGAAAUCGCUCGCCAGCGCAGAAUGUUGGACACGGUUUUUACACCUGAGCCAAAGUUUCACAGGUCAGAGAAAGAUCUCCCCAGUAAGGAGGGUAAGGUGGUCCAGAACCAACAGAACCUCGGUUCUCCAGAGGAAGACUCCAGACUUUCAUCACAAAUCACCCAGAUCAAAGAUGAACAUGAAGAAAUCUGCAUCAGUCAGGAGCCAUCAAGGCAAACGCAGCCCUCCAGCUCAACUCCAACACCCGCUCCUGAUGUCUCAGAAGAUCAGCACCGGCCCUCGGAGUCAAACCAAUCAGAGACUAUAGAACCUGGAGAAUUUCCGUCCAUCAGCUCAGAAAAAGAUGCAGAACCUCAAGCAGACAGGGAGAGUUCUGCAAGGUCAACAGCAGAGGAUGAUCUGGAAGGACUUUCCAAAACCAAUGAUAGAUCUGAGAACGAGGACCGCACAGCCUUUACCGAUGGAUGUGAAACAGCAACUGGAGACGUGGAGGCCAAUCCAGAUGAGGAGAUGCCGGAUGUGAGCUCACUGUCGGCUGCAAGUACUGAGCAAACGCUAGAGAAGAAGAUAAACCAAGAAGACAUAACGCUAUCUUUGGAUCAGAGCUGUACAAACGUAUCACCUAAUGACAGCGAUGAGAUCACGCAGCAGGAGGAAACAAACACAGAACCGGCACCAACACCAUCCAGCUUUGAAGAGGAGACAGGUAGAGGCCACGCUGAGACCCCGGACGGGGCGCAGAGCCGCCGGGAUGAAGGUUCUGUCUCAACGGGGGCUGAUGAGGAUCAAACAAUCAAAGGAAGUGAAGCGUCAGCAGGACCUGAUGAACGUCAGAAUGGAAGUCCAGAAAAUAUCAAGGAAUCACUGAAAGAUGCGAAGCAGACCUCACCUGAAAAUGUAGAGCAAACUUCACAACCAGACGAAGCAACAGGUUUUAUACCGACUGAGGAAAACGAACAUGGAAGACCAGAGAAGAGCACUGAUGAGCACGGAGCGUCCGCCACGCCUACGGAGAAGAGUCCAAAAGCUGACCAAAACACUGCCACAUCGCCAAAGAAAAGGGAAUGUUCACCGAAUAAAACCAACGCUCGUUCUGAUCCAGCAGCAAGGAGGCGGCUCAGAGAGGCAAAAACGGCACAGAGUAGAGCCAUGGAAACGAGACGACACCAGAGGCGCGGGGAGAAGAUGGGACCACAUGGAGACACAGCACCUGACUCCUCACAGUCUGCCGACAGACCAUCAAACAACCCCACAGCAGCGCCAGAACCGAGCUGUGGCGGGGACCGAGGCACAGAUCUGACUGCAAACAGGAAGUCCUGCAAAGAGAAGACGAGUUCAAGCUCAAAGUCAGGCAAAAAGAGGAGGCACAGCCACGAGGAAAUAAGUCUUUCUGAGCUGCCACAGGAGAGUUGCUGUGACGCCGAAGCGAAGGCGACUUCAAAACCAAAAACAAAUGCAGGCAGCAGUCCAGCUGAAAGCAGCCAAUCGAAAGCAAGCAAGAGGCCCAGCAGUGAAAAUAAAUCUUCAAGGAGCAAGAAGGAGCAGCUGCAGAAGAGACCAAAUGGUGGCAGUUCUGACCCAAAGCAGAAAAGACAGAAGGAGGGAAAUCCUCCAAUGUCCAGGAGGUCCGAGGCGGAAAAGCUACAGAGAAAAGAGAAGUCCAAAUCACGCGACAGGAGCGAUCUGGGCACAUCCAGCGACUGCGCUGAAGAGAACGUGGAGAACCCGUACAAGUGCGACACGUGCGGCAAAGUGAUGAGCAAUUUCAAAAACUACAAAUUCCACAUGAAGUCCCACACGGUUGAGAAAAGCUACAAGUGCGAAACCUGCGGGAAAAUGUUCCGGGAGAGCUGGGAUUUGAACAAGCACUUGGUCAUUCACGCCACGGAAAAGCCUUACAAAUGCGAAAUCUGCGGGAACGGUUUCAACCGUCGCUACAACCUGGACUUGCACCAGCGGGUGCACACGGGCGAGAAGCCCUACAAAUGCACCGUGUGCGCGAAAAGCUUCAGCUCCUGCGUGAACCUGAAGAAACACCAGCGCGUGCACACGGGCGAGAAGCCCUACACCUGCAAAGACUGCGGAAAAGAGUUCGCCGACUCCUCCGCGUUCAAAAACCAUCAGCGCGUGCACACGGGGGAGAAGCCCUUCAAGUGCACGCUCUGCAAAAGGAAGUUUGCCACCAGGACGACGCUGAAGAGGCACAACAGGACGCACACAGGGGAGAAGCCGUACGAGUGCCACGUCUGCAACAAAAAGUUUGGCCACAAGUCGGACCUGAAGGGACACUUGAGGCUGCACACGGGCGAGAAGCCCUACGAGUGCAGCCUCUGCCAGGAGAAGUUCUCCACCUGGCUAAAACUCCACAAACACAAGCGUGUGCACACAAAAGCAGCAGGAGAACCAAGCUCCAGCGAUUGAUUAGGCAUUUGUGUCAUGAAACAUGGGAUUUGCAAUAAUGGUUUCAGUCUUACUGUGAAAUUAGAAUCAGAAACGCUGUAUUGAUCCCACAUGUGGGAAAUUUGUUUGUUACCGUAGCAGUAAAAGAAGAAUAGUAGACAUAAGAGAAAAUAGAAUGUAAAGAAAAUCCAAAAUAAUGUAACAUGAAUGUAAACAAAUAAGGUCGUAUGAUUUAAAAAAAAAAGCUAUUUACAGACAGUACAAACAAGGAUAUGCAAAAAUGUGCAGAAAAGAAAAAUGUGCAGAUGUUAUCUGCUACACUGUGAAUUGUUGUACAGUGUUGUUGUGUUUGGUAGGAAGGAUUUCCGGUUUGAGCCUCCUAGAGAAGGAGCUCCGCUGUUUGUCCAGAACAGGGUGGAGAGGACGGUCUGGGUUGUCCGUGAUGCAGGGGUGUCAAACUCAUUUUCGCCACAUCAGCAUAGUGGUUGUCCUCAAAGGGCCUGAUAUAACUUAGACAUGGAACUUCAUGUAAUGAAAUAUAAACAUAAUUACUCCUUAAUGUUAAAUAAAUCAUUAUUUAUUUAUUAUAACUUUUUAAAGUGACAAUUACAGUUGCAUAGAAAACACAUGUUUGCUUGUUACUCUAGCAGAAAUACUUUUAAAUUUGAUUCUGUCAGGUUAGGUUAUAUGGACAGUUUUUAAGUCCUAACGCACAGUUGCCCGAUCCAAUAUUUCAUGUCCGAUUCCCCCCAGAUAUGAAUAAAUACACACCAAUUUGAUAUUUUAAGAAAUUAAAAACUUUUAUGCUCUCACGGGCCACAGAAAAUGACAUGGAGGGCCACAUUUGAGUUUGACACAUGUGCCAUAAUGGAUAAGAUCUUGUUCGGUGACCUCCUCUCCAUCACUGCUGAGUCCAAUGACAGAACCCGCCUUCCUGAUCAGCUUCCUCAGUCUGUUGGCGUCGCUGACGCUGCAAUGCUGCUUCCCCAGCAGACCACAGAGGAGAACAAGGUCGGCCACCACGGACUGCUGGAAGAUCUCCAGCAUCUUGCUGCACAUGUUAAAGGACCUCAGCUUCCUUAGGAAGUAGAGUCUGCUGCAGGCCUUUUUGUAAAACAGCAGUACUGUGGCUCCUCCAGCUCAGUUUGCUGUUGAUAGUCACUCCCAGGUAUUUGUACGUACGAAAUUAAAUCAAAGGGACCAAAUGAUCUAUUUUAAGUUCAGCUAUCUGACUUUAUUUUUCUAUUUCCAGCUUUUAAAAACUUCAAAGACUCAGAAAAUUGUAUUUUCAUGACAAAUAUUUAGGUAAGUUUAAUGGUUUACCCACAAUAAUGUACUUUUCUUUAUGAUUUUUCAACAUCUUGUCUUUAUUUUCAUGAAUUAUUGAUGGGAUUUCUGAACGACUUGUCUCUGGUUUCCUUUUUCAUGUCUUGCUUGGCUUUUGGGCAUUUGACAAAUGCAAACAGCUUUGUGAGGAGAAUAAAAGGGACGUUUUAAAACA